UGAUUGAAUUACAAAAUUGAUGCGCGUAC
RNAcentral lists this small RNA (29 nucleotides) under Bombyx mori (domestic silkworm). RNAcentral describes it as "ovarian small RNA-8413". The record is from RNAcentral. Lineage: Eukaryota; Metazoa; Arthropoda; Insecta; Lepidoptera; Bombycidae.